This 661-nucleotide long non-coding RNA is filed under the name Ailuropoda melanoleuca (giant panda). RNAcentral describes it as "lncRNA (ENSAMEG00000023797.1)". Lineage: Eukaryota; Metazoa; Chordata; Mammalia; Carnivora; Ursidae. The record is from RNAcentral.
AAGAGUCCCCUGGGAAAUGACCUCGAGCUGGCUGGUGGCUGGGGAGGAUCGAGCUGGUGAGAUUGCCUGACCUUGUGUUUUGAGGGGGAGAGGAGGGUGGGUGGAGAGGGCGAGGAAUAUCCUGAGAGGAGAGGAUCUGAGCAUGUGGAACUUGACCCGGAACAAGGCCUUAGUCGUCAGGGUGGGAGGAAGUCCUGAAUACAGUGCAGCAACUGUCCUGGGAACGCGUCCUUGGUCCUGCCAUGCUGGCUGGAUCCCGGGGCUAAAGGGGAAGUGCUGAUGCAGUCAACAGCAGACUGUUCUGGAGCACUAGCACGUUGCCCUGAGAGUCCUCUAGGGUCAAACACUGCUCAGAACAAAGCACAGGGUGGUGGGGGUUUUUUUGUUUUUGUUUUUUUUUUUUUUACGUACCUGCCUCUCAGGACUUACCUGGAAGUUCAGGGGCUUGCCAACUGGCAGACUGUUUCCUGUUGGGUUCAGGGCACAAUGGAAUCUACAUGGAGAAACGCAGAGUUGAGAUAUGGAGAUGUGUCCCAGUGACCAUGUUUGAACACUCUCAUGUGGCCAUAUCUGGACUUUGGAGUUCCACGAGUCAAUAUAUUCCCUUUAUUGCUCAAAUCACUUUGUGUUGGGCUCUUAUUGAAAGGUGAGCAAAUUGACA